This 1303-nucleotide long non-coding RNA is filed under the name Olea europaea subsp. europaea. Lineage: Eukaryota; Viridiplantae; Streptophyta; Magnoliopsida; Lamiales; Oleaceae. The record is from RNAcentral.
CAAUUAAGCCUUCUGUAAGGAUCGAAUUCAUUUUUUUCAAUACAGAUCCGAUUUUUAUUUCUCUCUAGCUUAAUAUGGUAUCAGAGCAAUUUUCUACUUCCAGAUUCUUCCUCUUGCGAGCUUGAUUCUUGGUUCCAAUUGUUUUCCAUCAAAUCAAUCGAGACUUGCUACCUGUGUUUCAGUGCUCAUUUUUUGAAAAAAAAAAAAAAAUCCAUGGUGACAAAACCUUUGAUGCAAUUGGACAAUUCUUCUUCGUCAGUUAGCAAUUACGCCAAUGAUGAUGGUUCGAGUCCUUACGAUCUUCAUCAUUCGGACAGUCCAGGUCUUGUCAUGGUUUCUCAAUAGCUAACUGGUGAUAAUUAUGCUUCUUGGAACAGAGCUAUGGUGAUAGCCAUGUUUGUAAAGAACAAACCAGGGUUUAUUGAUGGAUCUAUCCCAGACCAAAAGGUAAUGAUACUCUCCAUAACUUAUGGCCUCGCAAUAACAACAUUGUUAUUUCCUGGAUACUUAAUUCCGCAUCUAAGGAGAUAUCAGCCAGUGUUAUAUAUUCUAAUUCUGCUCAAGAAAUCUAGGAGGAUCUCAAAGAGAGAUCCCAGUAGAGAAAUGGUCCACACAUCCUUCUUACAGGAGGUUAGUUGAUCGUUUGUUGUACCUCACCAUCUCCUAGCCAGACAUCACAUUCGCAUUGCACAAACUGAGUCAAUUUGUAUCUGCUCCCCAACACCCUAGAGCCGUCGCUGAUGCUGAUUGAGGGUUCUUGUCAAAAUUUCCCGUAAAUCUGUAAUAGGUUUUUAUAUAUUUCUUAGCGACUCCAUGAUUUCUUGGAAAACCAAGAAGUAGUCUACUAUUUCUCGCUCAUCUGCAAAGGCAGAGUAUCAUGCCCUUGCUUUGACAGCCAGUGAGAUAAUUGGGCUUCAUCAACUAUUGGCAGAUUUUUCAAGUCUCAGUUCCUAGACUAGCUUUGCUAUUCUGUGAUAAUCAGGUUGCAACCACUAAUUCCACAUUCCAUGAGUGUAAGAAGCAUAUCGAAAUCGAUUGUCACUUAGUGAGGGAUUAGAUUGCAGAAGGCUUCAUCAAACUUCUUCCUAUUCAUGCUAUUUCCUUAUUUCCUUUGCUGUCCAAGAUGGCCAUUCUCGACAUUUAUCGACCACAUUGAGGAGAAGUAAUAGAGAUAUUUUACUUGUACAGCUGUAAUUCUGUUACUUGUACAGCUAUAAUUAUGUUGUUGUAUUUGUAUAGACAGUUAAGCCUCUUGUAAGGAUGGAAUUCAUUUAUUUAAUAUAGAUCUGAUUCUUUUAAUUCU